GCGACGCAUCCUUGAGGUUGGGCGUGGAUUUGAAAAUGUCCCUCGAGAGAUCCAUGGGUCGAAUAUCCGAAUCCAAGGCAUCCACCACGGCCUCCAGCGUGAGGAUCAACUCGGUCACGUAACCCUAAGGGGAGAGAGAAGAUGUCCGAAAGCAUCCGAGAAGAGAUGGGCACUCGAAGGGCUCUGUAUUAAAUAUCAAACCAGACCCAUUUUUGGCAAGGGCCUCGUAAAUUUCAUAUUAGAUGGAGCUGUACCUGAAUAUUUGCAACGAUCGUCCGGCGUAAUGUCGAGACGAGCAGGACAAGGCCAGAUGGAGUGACAAUUGCGACCAUCGCUCUGCCAGACGAGAAUGAGGCAAAGAUAACUCAAAGACCUGCAAAACAUGGGCCAGGAACACGUCGAUUUGCUCGGCACUGCGGAUGCUCCACACGUUGCGGGUGAUGUCCUCGUACUGCCAGAACGGUUGGCACUUUCUCGACGCGAUAAAAUGGAUCAGGGCCUUGGUCAGAUCUGCUACUGUCGGCGCAGAAUGGACUCCAUUUCCUGUUGUGGUACUCCCACGAUUUUUCCCGGUCGAUUCGUUGGUCUGAGACGCGAUUUGAACCGUGCUUCGACUGGUUGGCUCCUCGGACGUUUUACUGGAUUGGACCGACUCAUCUGAGCAAGGAAUAUACAUUUUACAUACACUGCAUCACUGCAUAUGGGUAAAGUACGUAUUAUAUGCAAGUAUGUAAAAGAAGUUUGUGCAUGCUCAUUUGAGGGUUUGAGUGUUCCUUUUUCAUUGAAUUAUAAGCCUCACCAUCUUCA
Long non-coding RNA from Tigriopus californicus, 807 nucleotides. RefSeq lists it as uncharacterized. The record is from RefSeq and is a predicted model, not a curated record. The transcript is spliced from 2 exons. Lineage: Eukaryota; Metazoa; Arthropoda; Copepoda; Harpacticoida; Harpacticidae.